CGCGACCCCAGGUCAGACGGGACUACCCGCUGAGUUUAA
RNAcentral lists this ribosomal RNA (39 nucleotides) under Cenchrus setaceus. RNAcentral's name for it is "partial large subunit ribosomal RNA". RNAcentral also lists the same sequence under 1 other name. Lineage: Eukaryota; Viridiplantae; Streptophyta; Magnoliopsida; Poales; Poaceae. The record is from RNAcentral.